RNAcentral lists this ribosomal RNA (232 nucleotides) under uncultured bacterium. RNAcentral describes it as "partial 16S ribosomal RNA". It matches the Rfam family "Bacterial small subunit ribosomal RNA", at positions 15 to 235 of the family's 1533-position model. The record is from RNAcentral.
GAUCCUGGUCAGGAUGAACCGCUAGCUACAGGCUUAACACAUGCAAGUCGAGGGGCAGCAUGGUCUUAGCUUGCUAAGGCUGAUGGCGACCGGCGCACGGGUGAGUAACACGUAUCCAACCUGCCGUCUACUCUUGGCCAGCCUUCUGAAAGGAAGAUUAAUCCAGGAUGGGAUCAUGAGUUCACAUGUCCGCAUGAUUAAAGGUAUUUUCCGGUUAGACGAUGGGAGUGCG